RNAcentral lists this ribosomal RNA (1491 nucleotides) under metagenome. Its description in RNAcentral is "bacterial SSU rRNA". It matches the Rfam family "Bacterial small subunit ribosomal RNA". The record is from RNAcentral.
AGAGUUUGAUCCUGGCUCAGAUUGAACGCUGGCGGCAUGCCUUACACAUGCAAGUCGAACGGCAGCACGAGAGCUUGCUCUUGGUGGCGAGUGGCGAACGGGUGAGUAAUAUAUCGGAACGUACCCUAGAGUGGGGGAUAACGUAGCGAAAGUUACGCUAAUACCGCAUACGAUCUACGGAUGAAAGUGGGGGAUCGCAAGACCUCAUGCUCAUGGAGCGGCCGAUAUCUGAUUAGCUAGUUGGUGGGGUAAAAGCUCACCAAGGCGACGAUCAGUAGCUGGUCUGAGAGGACGACCAGCCACACUGGAACUGAGACACGGUCCAGACUCCUACGGGAGGCAGCAGUGGGGAAUUUUGGACAAUGGGCGCAAGCCUGAUCCAGCAAUGCCGCGUGAGUGAAGAAGGCCUUCGGGUUGUAAAGCUCUUUUGUCAGGGAAGAAACGGUGGACUCUAAUACAGAUCACUAAUGACGGUACCUGAAGAAUAAGCACCGGCUAACUACGUGCCAGCAGCCGCGGUAAUACGUAGGGUGCAAGCGUUAAUCGGAAUUACUGGGCGUAAAGCGUGCGCAGGCGGUUGUGCAAGACAGAUGUGAAAUCCCCGGGCUCAACCUGGGAAUUGCAUUUGUGACUGCACGGCUAGAGUGUGUCAGAGGGGGGUAGAAUUCCACGUGUAGCAGUGAAAUGCGUAGAGAUGUGGAGGAAUACCGAUGGCGAAGGCAGCCCCCUGGGAUAACACUGACGCUCAUGCACGAAAGCGUGGGGAGCAAACAGGAUUAGAUACCCUGGUAGUCCACGCCCUAAACGAUGUCUACUAGUUGUCGGGUCUUAAUUGACUUGGUAACGCAGCUAACGCGUGAAGUAGACCGCCUGGGGAGUACGGUCGCAAGAUUAAAACUCAAAGGAAUUGACGGGGACCCGCACAAGCGGUGGAUGAUGUGGAUUAAUUCGAUGCAACGCGAAAAACCUUACCUACCCUUGACAUGUCUGGAAUCCUUGAGAGAUCAGGGAGUGCUCGAAAGAGAAUCAGAACACAGGUGCUGCAUGGCUGUCGUCAGCUCGUGUCGUGAGAUGUUGGGUUAAGUCUCGCAACGAGCGCAACCCUUGUCAUUAGUUGCUACGAAAGGGCACUCUAAUGAGACUGCCGGUGACAAACCGGAGGAAGGUGGGGAUGACGUCAAGUCCUCAUGGCCCUUAUGGGUAGGGCUUCACACGUCAUACAAUGGUACAUACAGAGGGCCGCCAACCCGCGAGGGGGAGCUAAUCCCAGAAAGUGUAUCGUAGUCCGGAUUGUAGUCUGCAACUCGACUACAUGAAGUUGGAAUCGCUAGUAAUCGCGGAUCAGCAUGUCGCGGUGAAUACGUUCCCGGGUCUUGUACACACCGCCCGUCACACCAUGGGAGCGGGUUUCACCAGAAGUGGGUAGCCUAACCGCAAGGAGGGCGCUCACCACGGUGGGAUUCGUGACUGGGGUGAAGUCGUAACAAGGUA